CAGAAAAACAUUCCAACGGGUGCCAGGGAAGCCGGUGGGAAUCCGGCGCGGUGCCGCCACUGUGAGGGGGAGCACCUGCUAAAGGAGCCACUGGUCCAGCACUCAGCAAGAUUUUUCCCCCUACGGGUUAAUAUCUUAAUAGUUUUAAUAAGAAGUAGCCUGAGUAGGGUAGAUAGGAGCUUGAGUGCCGGACUGGGAAGGCAGCAGGGAGCGUUGAACCCGAGCCAGGAGACCUGCCCGUGGGAUUGCACCGUA
Molecule: non-coding RNA, 255 nt
Filed under: Neomoorella thermoacetica
Lineage: Bacteria; Bacillati; Bacillota; Clostridia; Neomoorellales; Neomoorellaceae
Source: RNAcentral